GACGAACGCUGGCGGCGUGCCUAACACAUGCAAGUCGAACGGAACUUCUUUAAAGGAUUUCUUCGGAAUGAAUUUGAUUAAGUUUAGUGGCGGACGGGUGAGUAACGCGUGAGUAACCUGCCUCUGAGAGGGGAAUAACAUUCUGAAAAGAAUGCUAAUACCGCAUAACAUAUAUUUAUCGCAUGGUAGAUAUAUCAAAGAUUUAUCGCUUAGAGAUGGACUCGCGUCCGAUUAGUUAGUUGGUGAGGUAACGGCUCACCAAGACUGCGAUCGGUAGCCGGACUGAGAGGUUGAACGGCCACAUUGGGACUGAGACACGGCCCAGACUCCUACGGGAGGCAGCAGUGGGGGAUAUUGCGCAAUGGGGGAAACCCUGACGCAGCAACGCCGCGUGAGUGAAGAAGUAGUUUCGGUAUGUAAAGCUCUAUCAGCAGGAAAG
RNAcentral lists this ribosomal RNA (439 nucleotides) under uncultured bacterium. Its description in RNAcentral is "bacterial SSU rRNA". It matches the Rfam family "Bacterial small subunit ribosomal RNA", at positions 28 to 447 of the family's 1533-position model. The record is from RNAcentral.